CUACGGGCGGCUGCAGUGGGGAAUAUUGGACAAUGGGGGAAACCCUGAUCCAGCAAUGCCGCGUGUGUGAAGAAGGCCUGCGGGUUGUAAAGCACUUUCGGUUGGGAGGACUGCUUCUAGCACUAAUAUUGUUGGAAGUUGACGUUACCUUCAGAAGAAGCACCGGCUAGCUCCGUGCCAGCAGCCGCGGUAAUACGGAGGGUGCAAGCGUUAAUCGGAAUUACUGGGCGUAAAGCGCGCGUAGGCGGCUAGAUCAGUCGGGUGUGAAAGCCCCGGGCUUAACCUGGGAACUGCAUCCGAUACUGUCUAGCUUGAGUACAGGAGAGGAGAGUGGAAUUCCACAUGUAGCGGUGAAAUGCGUAGAUAUGUGGAGGAACACCAAUGGCGAAGGCAGCUCUCUGGCCUGAUACUGACGCUGAGGUGCGAAAGCGUGGGGGGCAAACAGGAUUAGAUACCCGAGUAGUC
RNAcentral lists this ribosomal RNA (465 nucleotides) under uncultured bacterium. RNAcentral's name for it is "partial 16S ribosomal RNA". It matches the Rfam family "Bacterial small subunit ribosomal RNA", at positions 339 to 795 of the family's 1533-position model. The record is from RNAcentral.